RNAcentral lists this ribosomal RNA (255 nucleotides) under uncultured bacterium. RNAcentral describes it as "partial 16S ribosomal RNA". It matches the Rfam family "Bacterial small subunit ribosomal RNA", at positions 524 to 776 of the family's 1533-position model. The record is from RNAcentral.
UACGUAGGGCGCAAGCGUUGUCCGGAAUUAUUGGGCGUAAAGAGCUCGUAGGCGGUUUGUCGCGUCUGCUGUGAAAACCUAAGGCUCAACCUUGGGCUUGCAGUGGGUACGGGCAGACUAGAGUGCGGUAGGGGUGACUGGAAUUCCUGGUGUAGCGGUGGAAUGCGCAGAUAUCAGGAGGAACACCGAUGGCGAAGGCAGGUCACUGGGCCGCAACUGACGCUGAUGCACGAAGGCCCAGGGGGAGCAAACGGG